This 254-nucleotide ribosomal RNA is filed under the name uncultured bacterium. Its description in RNAcentral is "partial 16S ribosomal RNA". It matches the Rfam family "Bacterial small subunit ribosomal RNA", at positions 524 to 776 of the family's 1533-position model. The record is from RNAcentral.
GACGAACCGUGCGAACGUUAUUCGGAAUCACUGGGAUUAAAGCGCGUGUAGGCGGGACGGCACGUCGGUCGCUGAAAUCCCCCGGCUUAACCGGGGAACGGGCGUCGAUACGACCGUCCUGGAGGGGCGUAGGGGGACCUGGAACCUCCGGUGGAGCGGUGAAAUGCGUUGAGAUCGGAAGGAACGCCCGUGGCGAAAGCGAGGUCCUGGACGACUACUGACGCUGAGACGCGAAAGCCAGGGGAGCGAACGGG